RNAcentral lists this ribosomal RNA (1885 nucleotides) under Listeria monocytogenes. RNAcentral describes it as "partial 23S ribosomal RNA". It matches the Rfam family "Bacterial large subunit ribosomal RNA", at positions 1 to 1878 of the family's 2925-position model. Lineage: Bacteria; Bacillati; Bacillota; Bacilli; Caryophanales; Listeriaceae. The record is from RNAcentral.
GGUUAAGUUAGAAAGGGCGCACGGUGGAUGCCUUGGCACUAGGAGCCGAAGAAGGACGGGACUAACACCGAUAUGCUUUGGGGAGCUGUACGUAAGCGUUGAUCCAGAGAUUUCCGAAUGGGGGAACCCACUAUCUUUAGUCGGAUAGUAUCCUUACGUGAAUACAUAGCGUGAGGAAGGCAGACCCAGGGAACUGAAACAUCUAAGUACCUGGAGGAAGAGAAAGAAAAAUCGAUUUCCUGAGUAGCGGCGAGCGAAACGGAAAGAGCCCAAACCAAGAAGCUUGCUUCUUGGGGUUGUAGGACACUCUAUACGGAGUUACAAAAGAAAGUUAUAAAUGAAGCGGUCUGGAAAGGCCCGCCAAAGACGGUAACAGCCCGGUAGUUGAAAUGGCUUUCCCUCCAGAGUGGAUCCUGAGUACGGCGGAACACGUGAAAUUCCGUCGGAAUCCGGGAGGACCAUCUCCCAAGGCUAAAUACUCCCUAGUGACCGAUAGUGAACCAGUACCGUGAGGGAAAGGUGAAAAGCACCCCGGAAGGGGAGUGAAACAGUUCCUGAAACCGUGUGCCUACAAGUAGUUAGAGCCCGUUAAUGGGUGAUAGCGUGCCUUUUGUAGAAUGAACCGGCGAGUUACGAUUUGUUGCAAGGUUAAGCGGAAAAAGCGGAGCCGUAGCGAAAGCGAGUCUGAAUAGGGCGCAUAAGUAACAGGUCGUAGACCCGAAACCAGGUGAUCUACCCAUGUCCAGGAUGAAGGUAAGGUAAUACUUACUGGAGGUCCGAACCCACGCACGUUGAAAAGUGCGGGGAUGAGGUGUGGGUAGCGGAGAAAUUCCAAUCGAACUUGGAGAUAGCUGGUUCUCUCCGAAAUAGCUUUAGGGCUAGCCUCGAGGUAAAGAGUCAUGGAGGUAGAGCACUGUUUGGACUAGGGGCCCUUCUCGGGUUACCGAAUUCAGAUAAACUCCGAAUGCCAUGUACUUAUACUCGGGAGUCAGACUGCGAGUGAUAAGAUCCGUAGUCGAAAGGGAAACAGCCCAGACCACCAGUUAAGGUCCCCAAAUAUAUGUUAAGUGGAAAAGGAUGUGGGGUUGCUUAGACAACCAGGAUGUUGGCUUAGAAGCAGCCACCAUUGAAAGAGUGCGUAAUAGCUCACUGGUCGAGUGACCCCGCGCCGAAAAUGUACCGGGGCUAAACAUAUUACCGAAACUGUGGAUGAACCUCUUUAGAGGUUCGUGGUAGGAGAGCGUUCUAAGGGCGGUGAAGUCAGACCGGAAGGACUGGUGGAGCGCUUAGAAGUGAGAAUGCCGGUAUGAGUAGCGAAAGAAGGGUGAGAAUCCCUUCCACCGAAUAUCUAAGGUUUCCUGAGGAAGGCUCGUCCGCUCAGGGUUAGUCGGGACCUAAGCCGAGGCCGAUAGGCGUAGGCGAUGGACAACAGGUAGAGAUUCCUGUACCAGUGCUAAUUGUUUAACCGAUGGGGUGACACAGAAGGAUAGGGAAUCGCACGAAUGGAAAUGUGCGUCCAAGCAGUGAGUGUGAGAAGUAGGCAAAUCCGCUUCUCGCGAAGCAUGAGCUGUGAUGGGGAAGGAAAUUAAGUACGGAAGUUCCUGAUUUCACGCUGUCAAGAAAAGCCUCUAGGAAGAGUAGUACUGCCCGUACCGCAAACCGACACAGGUAGAUGAGGAGAGAAUCCUAAGGUGAGCGAGAGAACUCUCGUUAAGGAACUCGGCAAAAUGACCCCGUAACUUCGGGAGAAGGGGUGCUCUAUUAGGGUGCAAGCCCGAGAGAGCCGCAGUGAAUAGGCCCAGGCGACUGUUUAGCAAAAACACAGGUCUCUGCAAAACCGUAAGGUGACGUAUAGGGGCUGACGCCUGCCCGGUGCUGGAAGGUU